This 779-nucleotide non-coding RNA is filed under the name Auaxa sulphurea. The record is from RNAcentral. Lineage: Eukaryota; Metazoa; Arthropoda; Insecta; Lepidoptera; Geometridae.
AAUAAAUUUUAUAUAGUUUAAAAAAUUUAUUUUAAGUUUAUUUUACAUAUAAAUUUUAGUGUUAAUAAUCAUUUAUUUAAAAAAUAUUUAUUAUUUGUAGUAAUUAAUAUUAAAAAUUUAAGAAAUUAAGAUUUAGUAAUAUUAAAAUUAUUAACAAAUUUUGUGCCAGCAGUUGCGGUUAUACAAAAAUUAAAUUAAAUUUUAUUAGUUAUUUAAUAAAUAGUUUAUUUAUAUAAUUUAAAUUUUAAAUUAUUAAGUGAAAUUUUAAUUUAAUUAUAAUUUAUUAAUAAUUUAUUAUGAAUUAAUAAAUUUAAAUAAUAAACUAGGAUUAGAUACCCUAUUAUUUUAAAUUUAAAAUUAAAAUACUAAAAUAGUAUAUAAUUAUUUAUUGAAACUUAAAUAUUUUGGCGGUAUUUUAGUUUACUUAGAGGAAUCUGUUUAUUAAUUGAUAAUCCACGAAUAAAUUUACUUAAUUUAUUAUUUUGUAUAUCAUUGUUAAAUAAACAUUUUUUAAAAAUUAAUAAUAUUUUAAAAUUAUUAAUAAAAAUUAAAUCAAAUCAAGAUGCAGAAAAUAAUUAAGAAUAUAAUGGAUUACAAUAAAUUUAUUUAAAUGAAUUUUAAUUUGUAAAAAUUAAAUGAAAGUGGAUUUAAUUGUAAUUUUAUUUAAUUUAAUAAAAUGAUUAAAAAUUAAAAUAUGUACAUAUUGCCCGUCGCUUUCAUAAAUAAAUUGAAAUAAGUCGUAACAAAGUAGAGGUACUGGAAAGUGUUUCUAGAAAGAU